This 497-nucleotide ribosomal RNA is filed under the name uncultured bacterium. RNAcentral's name for it is "partial 16S ribosomal RNA". It matches the Rfam family "Bacterial small subunit ribosomal RNA", at positions 28 to 507 of the family's 1533-position model. The record is from RNAcentral.
GAUGAACGCUGGCGGCGUGCCUAAUACAUGCAAGUCGAGCGAACAGACGAGGGGCUUGCUCCUCUGACGUUAGCGGCGGACGGGUGAGUAACACGUGGAUAACCUACCUAUAAGACUGGGAUAACUUCGGGAAACCGGAGCUAAUACCGGAUAAUAUAUUGAACCGCAUGGUUCAAUAGUGAAAGACGGUUUUGCUGUCACUUAUAGAUGGAUCCGCGCCGCAUUAGCUAGUUGGUAAGGUAACGGCUUACCAAGGCAACGAUGCGUAGCCGACCUGAGAGGGUGAUCGGCCACACUGGAACUGAGACACGGUCCAGACUCCUACGGGAGGCAGCAGUAGGGAAUCUUCCGCAAUGGGCGAAAGCCUGACGGAGCAACGCCGCGUGAGUGAUGAAGGUCUUCGGAUCGUAAAACUCUGUUAUUAGGGAAGAACAAAUGUGUAAGUAACUAUGCACGUCUUGACGGUACCUAAUCAGAAAGCCACGGCUAACCACGUG